Molecule: long non-coding RNA, 1415 nt
Filed under: Linum usitatissimum (flax)
Lineage: Eukaryota; Viridiplantae; Streptophyta; Magnoliopsida; Malpighiales; Linaceae
Description: long non-coding RNA (LUSI_LNC007535)
Source: RNAcentral
AGUAUAGUUCAUAUAACAAGUUAUAGAGAUACAUAAUUACAUAUAACCAGUUAUAUAGAGCUUUUGAUUUUGCCAAGUUUCUUUCUUUGUGCAAGGAUGGAGUUGAUGUGUACAUAUUGAGUUGAUUUUCCACCAUUGAAGGGACUGAACUAACCCAGAGGAAAUAUUUUUAAAGGCAGUGGUUUGCCACGCCCACAGCUGUCUUCUACUGUCAGGUCUUGCUGUUUUCAAUUCAGUAUGCUAGCACCCUCUUAAACUAACAGUUUUGAAGAUACGACUUCUCAAUUGUAGCUAUACACGGAUCUGAACAAGACGGAGCCUCUCGACGGAACAAAAAGUGUUGAUCUUUUUGGAACAAUUAGAGGUUGACUAUGUUCUCUUCACCGAUCCACCUUCAACAUCAACCUCAACUCCUUGAAAGACGAUGCAACCGCUGGAAAGACGAUGCUGGAAAGUCAACCAAGAUACAAAAAGCUACAAAGAAAGAUCAGGAUGCACUCCUCAAAUUCCAAAAAGACAACAAGACAGCCGGAGGACACAUCAGGUCACUCACGAAGAAUGCUAUCUUUGAUCUUUUUGUGGAUAUCAAAUCUGCAAAAUCCAUUUUGGAUACACUGACAAACAAAUAUGGAACUAAUCAUGCAGGGAAAAAGGAAAUAUGUGAUAGGCAACUGGCUGAACUUCAAGAUGGUGGACAACAAGCGUAUCUUGGAUCAAGUGCACCAUUAUGAGAAUUUCACUGCUGAUGUUCUCUAUGAAGACAUGAACAUUUAUGAGAAAUUCCAAGCAAACAUGUUGAUAGAGCGUCUAUUUGAUUCCCGGCCAGACUACAGAAAUCAUCUCAAACACAGGAAAAUGGACCUCACCCUGGAGGAAUUAAUCUGUCACAUGAAGAUCGAAGAGGCCAACAGACAAAAGGACAAGGGUAUCACUGAUGAUGCUUUCAAUCCUUUUGGUAACGCUAAUCUGGUUGGAUCUUCUGUGAAACACAAUGACAGGUUGAAAUCCAACAAGAAGAAAGGAGUUUUGUCAACCAAAAGCUCUCAACCGUUUAAAAGAUCGGGAUCUCAACUGAAGAACAAUGUUGGUUGCUUUGUCUGUGGAAAAAUUGGUCACAGGGCCUUCUAAUGCGCCAUGAGGAAGCCUAUCCAAGAAGAUUAUUUACUGAGAACUUUGUGAAAAACUGAGAAUAAUUCAUGAAUUACGACUCUUUACUCACCUCAACAAAACGGAAUAACAAAAAGGAAAAGCAAAUCUUUAAAAGAAACGAUGAAUUUCUUUUUUGAUUGCUUCUGAUUUAUCCAAGGAAAUGUGGGGGGAGCUCACUACAAGAAAUCCAAAACUUUUCGUUAGUUUAACAGCACAUACAAAAAAUUCAUUGUUAAACUUUAAAUCUAACAGGAGAUCCAAAAUCG